GUCUACGGCCAUACCACCGUGAACACGCCCGAUCUCGUCUCUCAGAAGCUAAGCAGGGUCGGGGCCUGGUUAGUACUUGGAAGGAAGAGAGUGCAAUUAAAUUUUAACU
This 109-nucleotide ribosomal RNA is filed under the name Mustela putorius furo (domestic ferret). The record is from RNAcentral. Lineage: Eukaryota; Metazoa; Chordata; Mammalia; Carnivora; Mustelidae.